This 1065-nucleotide ribosomal RNA is filed under the name Lindgomycetaceae sp. RNAcentral describes it as "SSU rRNA". It matches the Rfam family "Eukaryotic small subunit ribosomal RNA", at positions 73 to 1146 of the family's 1831-position model. Lineage: Eukaryota; Fungi; Ascomycota; Dothideomycetes; Pleosporales; Lindgomycetaceae. The record is from RNAcentral.
UUAUACCGUGGAAACUGCGAAUGGCUCAUUAAAUCAGUUAUCGUUUAUUUGAUAGUACCUUACUACUUGGAUAACCGUGGUAAUUCUAGAGCUAAUACAUGCUAAAAACCCCAACUUCGGGAGGGGUGUAUUUAUUAGAUAAAAAACCAAUGCCCUCCGGGGCUCUUUGGUGAUUCAUGAUAACUUAACGGAUCGCAUGGCCUUGCGCCGGCGACGGUUCAUUCAAAUUUCUGCCCUAUCAACUUUCGAUGGUAAGGUAUUGGCUUACCAUGGUUUCAACGGGUAACGGGGAAUUAGGGUUCGAUUCCGGAGAGGGAGCCUGAGAAACGGCUACCACAUCCAAGGAAGGCAGCAGGCGCGCAAAUUACCCAAUCCCGACACGGGGAGGUAGUGACAAUAAAUACUGAUACAGGGCUCUUUUGGGUCUUGUAAUUGGAAUGAGUACAAUUUAAACCCCUUAACGAGGAACAAUUGGAGGGCAAGUCUGGUGCCAGCAGCCGCGGUAAUUCCAGCUCCAAUAGCGUAUAUUAAAGUUGUUGCAGUUAAAAAGCUCGUAGUUGAAACUUGGGCCUGGCUGUCUGGUCCGCCUCACCGCGUGUACUGGUUCGGCCGGGCCUUUCCUUCUGGAGAACCUCAUGCCCUUCACUGGGUGUGGUGGGGAACCAGGACUUUUACUUUGAAAAAAUUAGAGUGUUCAAAGCAGGCCUUUGCUCGAAUACGUUAGCAUGGAAUAAUAGAAUAGGACGUGCGAUCCUAUUUUGUUGGUUUCUAGGACCGCCGUAAUGAUUAAUAGGGAUAGUCGGGGGCAUCAGUAUUCAAUUGUCAGAGGUGAAAUUCUUGGAUUUAUUGAAGACUAACUACUGCGAAAGCAUUUGCCAAGGAUGUUUUCAUUAAUCAGUGAACGAAAGUUAGGGGAUCGAAGACGAUCAGAUACCGUCGUAGUCUUAACCGUAAACUAUGCCGACUAGGGAUCGGGCGAUGUUAUUAUUUUGACUCGCUCGGCACCUUACGAGAAAUCAAAGUUUUUGGGUUCUGGGGGGAGUAUGGUCGCAAGGCUGAAACUUA